GAUGAAGCCCUUCGGGGUGGAUUAGUGGCGAACGGGUGAGUAACACGUGGGCAAUCUGCCCUUCACUCUGGGACAAGCCCUGGAAACGGGGUCUAAUACCGGAUAACACUUCCGUCCUCCUGGACGGUGGUUAAAAGCUCCGGCGGUGAAGGAUGAGCCCGCGGCCUAUCAGCUUGUUGGUGAGGUAAUGGCUCACCAAGGCGACGACGGGUAGCCGGCCUGAGAGGGCGACCGGCCACACUGGGACUGAGACACGGCCCAGACUCCUACGGGAGGCAGCAGUGGGGAAUAUUGCACAAUGGGCGAAAGCCUGAUGCAGCGACGCCGCGUGAGGGAUGACGGCCUUCGGGUUGUAAACCUCUUUCAGCAGGGAAGAAGCGAAAGUGACGGUACCUGCAGAAGAAGCGCCGGCUAACUACGUGCCAGCAGCCGCGGUAAUACGUAGGGCGCAAGCGUUGUCCGGAAUUAUUGGGCGUAAAGAGCUCGUAGGCGGCUUGUCACGUCGGUUGUGAAAGCCCGGGGCUUAACCCCGGGUCUGCAGUCGAUACGGGCAGGCUAGAGUGUGGUAGGGGAGAUCGGAAUUCCUGGUGUAGCGGUGAAAUGCGCAGAUAUCAGGAGGAACACCGGUGGCGAAGGCGGAUCUCUGGGCCAUUACUGACGCUGAGGAGCGAAAGCGUGGGGAGCGAACAGGAUUAGAUACCCUGGUAGUCCACGCCGUAAACGGUGGGAACUAGGUGUUGGCGACAUUCCACGUCGUCGGUGCCGCAGCUAACGCAUUAAGUUCCCCGCCUGGGGAGUACGGCCGCAAGGCUAAAACUCAA
RNAcentral lists this ribosomal RNA (821 nucleotides) under Streptomyces sp. RNAcentral's name for it is "bacterial SSU rRNA". It matches the Rfam family "Bacterial small subunit ribosomal RNA", at positions 68 to 904 of the family's 1533-position model. Lineage: Bacteria; Bacillati; Actinomycetota; Actinomycetes; Kitasatosporales; Streptomycetaceae. The record is from RNAcentral.